CGGUAUCGCCAUUUCCUGCGAAAUUGUCGGAG
RNAcentral lists this non-coding RNA (32 nucleotides) under Geobacter sulfurreducens KN400. Lineage: Bacteria; Pseudomonadati; Thermodesulfobacteriota; Desulfuromonadia; Geobacterales; Geobacteraceae. The record is from RNAcentral.